This 472-nucleotide ribosomal RNA is filed under the name uncultured bacterium. RNAcentral's name for it is "partial 16S ribosomal RNA". It matches the Rfam family "Bacterial small subunit ribosomal RNA", at positions 28 to 507 of the family's 1533-position model. The record is from RNAcentral.
GACGAACGCUGGCGGCGUGUUUAACACAUGCAAGUCGAACGCUAAAGCUUGGUGCUUGCACUGGGUGGAUGAGUGGCGAACGGGUGAGUAAUAAGUGAGUAACCUGCCCUUGACUCUGGGAUAAGCCUGGGAAACUGGGUCUAAUACUGGAUACGACAUGUCACCGCAUGGUGGUGUGUGGAAAGGGUUUUACUGGUUUUGGAUGGGCUCACGGCCUAUCAGCUUGUUGGUGGGGUAAUGGCUCACCAAGGCGACGACGGGUAGCCGGCCUGAGAGGGUGACCGGCCACACUGGGACUGAGACACGGCCCAGACUCCUACGGGAGGCAGCAGUGGGGAAUAUUGCACAAUGGGCGGAAGCCUGAUGCAGCGACGCCGCGUGAGGGAUGACGGCCUUCGGGUUGUAAACCUCUUUCAGCACGGAAGAAGCGAAAGUGACGGUACGUGCAGAAGAAGCGCCGGCUAACUACGUG